Molecule: transfer RNA, 76 nt
Filed under: Nocardioidaceae bacterium
Lineage: Bacteria; Bacillati; Actinomycetota; Actinomycetes; Propionibacteriales; Nocardioidaceae
Also listed under: 4 other names
Description: tRNA-His
Rfam family: tRNA
About the family: Transfer RNA (tRNA) molecules are approximately 80 nucleotides in length. Their secondary structure includes four short double-helical elements and three loops (D, anti-codon, and T loops).
Source: RNAcentral
GUGGGUGUAGCUCAGCUGGUAGAGCAUCGGCUUGUGGUGCCGAGGGUCGCGGGUUCAAGCCCCGUCACUCACCCCA